This 4192-nucleotide long non-coding RNA is filed under the name Glycine max (soybean). Its description in RNAcentral is "long non-coding RNA (GMAX_LNC004232)". The record is from RNAcentral. Lineage: Eukaryota; Viridiplantae; Streptophyta; Magnoliopsida; Fabales; Fabaceae.
UGACUAACAUGCAUUUUAUCCUUUUAUAAAUAACUAGGGGCGAAUCUUGUCUUUUCCACCUAAGCAACACACACCAUUCUAAUCCUCUAAGCACUUCUUUGGUAUAAAAGGAAAAGAAGGUCUUCAUCUCCCACCUUUGCCUCCCCUUGCUCUUUAUUCCAUGUUGACAGAUAAACCUUAUUCAAGUCACAUGGUUAUUUGUUUAAUCCAUUAAAUUAAAACAAACAAAACACAAAAAAAAAUUGCUUGCAAAUACUAAUGGAGUCCAGAGGUGAACUCUUAAAUCUAACAGCAUCUUCCUUCUAUAGUGAAAAUCCAAAUUUAUCUCAAUCCUAAGUAAAACUCUAAAUUACCACAUGAUUUUUUAUUGGUCUCCAAGCAAAGAGACAAGAAUAUAUCAUGAUAUCUCUCCUAAAGUUUAAGAUGUUAUGUGAAUGCAUAAAAUUGACUAAAGCUCUAACUAAGGCCCCUCACAUAAGACCCACUCUAUGCACACUUGAAGUGCAAAGUAUGCAUAAGCUCGCUAUACCACUCGAUCAUAGAAACUAUGAUAUCAUGUCAAAGAUCAUCUCUCCUAAAAGAACAAGCUGUUAGGCAAAGUCAAGGGAUUGGUUUUAGUUUUACCUCAAGCCAGAUUAUAAGGAAAUCAACAGUUCAAGAAAGGGACAAAUACAUACAUGAUCGAAACCAGUUAGAUGAAGAGAGACUGCUCAAAAGUUACAACUUUAGGCACAAUAGUAAGUAGUAACUAACACAAAAUUCAUAUGGUGUAUUUUAACUUGAGAAACAAACAGUGGCACCAAAAGUGAUAUCCAUAAAUAUUUUGUUGUAUGGAAAAAUAAAUAAGUGGAAGACCUGCAGCCACAAAAAUGACAGAAUUUGAACUUCAUCAAUUAUACAAAAACAUAAGAAGAAAAUCAAAUCUCCUAAAAUGAAGGAAACUCAAUGAAAUAUAAUAUUAUAAGAUCUCUGAUGAACUCUGUGUUCAUCGGGUUAGAAACAAUUGUAGCACAAUAGUUUACAAAUCACCUAAUCUUGUUUUAAGUGAUCUUUUGCUCUUUUGAUCUUUCAAUAGAUCCCAUUUUCUGAAGCCUGAUUUGAGCUUUGAACUUGGCUAUAAACUCGCUAGCUUUCUUAUCCACCUCAGAAUCCAGAUCUGAAUCAUUGACACAUUCAGGCACCCUGUUUUCAUCUGAGCUCACCCGAGUAUUGUCAAGCUCGAUAUCUGAAUCUUGCUUGGAUAAAUUUUUGGAUGGCUCUAGCUUAUCUCUCCUACGAUGAUUGGAAAAACUAAUCUCAGGCUUAGGACAAUAAGAAUCCAGAGUUUUCUUACUGACUCCUUUCAAUGGAAGGUCUGAUUCUCCGCUCUUCAUUUUAUCUUUUCUCAAUACUGACUCAACAUCUUUAUUGUUCUUUUCAACCUUUUCAUCAGUUUGCUUGCUAGAUGUUUCUCCUAUUCUCAUUGUCCCUGAAGUCAGGCCACUGGCUCUUCUUGUUCUGACUGAUUUUCCCCGUGAUGGAGCUUUUGCUACUCUUGCGGGCUUUUCUGAGUCCGACUGCAAAACCUGCAUCCGCAACUCUUUUUUGCCAGAGGGAUCCUCACCUUCAAUCUCAUUUAAACCCCUCAAGUCACCAUUCAAACUGCUCUUUAUGUCAUCCAGGAGUGAGGAACCAUUAGUAUAUCCACGAGCUUGAAAUGCUUGCAAUGAAGCUUCACCAUUUCUCCUAGCCAAAGGUGAUGGUGAACUUGAAGAAGAUCCAUGUGAGCUCUUCUUUUCCCCUAAGUCUUCCUUCGGCGAAUUCAUAUUCUCUGACAAAGCAGAAUCAAGCAAAGAACAUAAACUUGACUGAGAUGAGAAAGAUCCCAUAGACUGGAAAGACCGUGAGUUGAGUGAUUCAAGUUGAGUUUCAUCAACUGACAUUGGCCUGAAAUGAGAAGGAGGUGAAUCAGCACCAAAUUUUCCUUUAGAUUCAAUCAUUCCAUUUCUAGAAGAAGACACCUCGGAAAUCUUCUUUCCCAAAUCCACCUCUUGGAAAUUCAUGUUUCCUGAAGCAGGCACAUAGGAAGUCUUCUUUUGUUCCAUUUCCUCCUCUGGGAAAUUCACAAUUUCUGAAUCAUGCACAUAGGAAGUCUUCUUGGGUCCGAUGUCCUCCUGAAAAUUCAUAUUUUCUGAAGUAUGCAUAUGGGAAGUCUUCUUUUGUCCCAUGUCUUCCUCUUGGAAGUCCAUAUCUGAUGAAAUUGAAUCCAAGGAAGAAUGCAUUCUUGCAUUGGAAGAGAAGGAUCUCACAGCCUCAAAAGUGUUUGAAUUUGAACCGAGUGAGUCAAAUUGAGUUUCAUCAACUGACAUUGGCCUGAAAUGUGAAGGAAAAGAAGCAGCACCAUAUUUUCCUUUAGUUGCCAUCUUUCUAUUUCUUGAUGAAGACCCCUGGAAAAUCUUCUUCCCCAAAUGUCUCUCUUGAAAACUUGUAUUUUCAGAAGCAGGCACAUAGGAAGAUCCCAUAUCUUUCUCUUGGAAAUUCAUAAUUUCUGAAACAGGCACAAAGGAAGUCUUCCUUUGCCCUACGUCUUCCUCUUGAAAAUUCAUCUUCUCCGAGGCAGAAACAUAGGAAGCUUCCUUUUGCCUCAUCUCUUCCUCUUGAAAGUUCAUAUUAUCCAACAAAAUCGAAUCCAAGGAAGAAUACAUGUUGUUAAGAGAAGAGAAAGAUGUUGUUGACUGCCAAGACCCAGAACUGAGUGCUUCAAAUUUAGUUUCAUCAGCUGAAAGUGGCCUAAAAUGUGAAGGACGGGUAACAUUGCCAUGUCUUUUCUCCCUUUCUGUCCUUCUAUUCCUUGAAUGCCAGGGAAUUGGGGAAGCUGAUCCACCACCACCACCAGCAUCGUUAAAUUUUUUCUCCAAAUUGGAAGGAUCCAGAUCCCCAAAUUCCCUAUCUCCACUCUUACCCGAUCCCCUAGAAGAACCCCUCGAACCUGAACUGGAAUCACUUUCAUUGGCAUAUUUAGGACUAUCUACAUCUCUAGAAACUGAUCUCAAACUGCGAACCGGUAGCCCUAGAGGUUUAUAACCAACAACCUCACCACAUUCACCAGCAUUGUAGUUUGGUUGAGCAACAACCACCACUGGCUCACUGUGAUAGUACUCAGAAUUCCAAGCCUGAACCUCAUUGGUUCCAAUUCCAUUCCCAUCGCAUCUAAAAGAAUAACCAAAACUAUCUUCAGAAAUUGACAAAUGGGUUUUGUACUGUUCAUCAAAAACACCAACAGUAUCACCCCCAUUGGAGCACAUCCCCCCUGGCCUCCCAUCAAAGUACUGAUUAUUCCAACAAUGCGUCAUCAUCAUCAUCCUCUUCUCAUCAACCCCACAUGGAUUUCCAUUUUCAUUUUCACACCCAUCAUCAUCAAAAAUAGUGGAAGAAGCAGGAAACACUUUGGACACAUAACUAGGUGCAGCAGUGGAAUCAUCAGCACUAGAGUGAGCAGUUUCUAAUUCUAUGUGUGUGGUGUCAAGUUCUGAAUUUCUUCUACUAAAUAAACCAUAGGUGACAGCAAUGCCAAUGAAGAGAAGGUGGAGAAGCUCCCAGAACUUUUUGAGUAUGGUUUGGCUCAUAAAGUCAGGGGCUUGGGAGGGAAAAAGUGGAAGAACAACGACAAACAGUGCCAAUAACAGAGCUUUAAGGAUGAAACCUGAGCAAGACUUACCUUGGUUAGUGGGUUUUGGUUGGAUCCGGGAGCUGUGGUCGGAAAGUGGGAAAUGGGGUUUGGUGUAAGGGCUUGAAUCUGCCAUUGAUGAGUGAGUGAGUGAGGUGAGUCCCUCCCAGUCUCCCCCUUUGCUCUGUGAUGUGAAUGUGUUUGUGGUGUUGUGAUGUGAGAUGAGGAAUGAAGAAAGGAAGACUUUGAGGACAAGGAAAAGUGCAUCUGGGACAACACCAAGGAAGAUAAUAAAAGAUUAAGGUAAUUGCAAUUGUCCAACGUAGUGGGGCAGAAUUCAAAAGGUGUCACUGUCAAUCAUGGCCGUUUGCUUUUAAUGACAUUGCUACCCUUGUCUUCUUGAUUUGAGUUUUACCAUAUUUUUGGAACUUUUUUUUAGGUUUGGGUCAUCACAGGCCCAGCCAAAAUACAUUAUGCUUGAAUGUGUAGACUUCUUUUUAGGUUGGAUUAAAUAAAAGUUUAGAUUAGUUGAUGCUAGAACUUAUU